Molecule: non-coding RNA, 87 nt
Filed under: Pseudomonas sp. NFIX10
Lineage: Bacteria; Pseudomonadati; Pseudomonadota; Gammaproteobacteria; Pseudomonadales; Pseudomonadaceae
Also listed under: 1 other name
Source: RNAcentral
UUUUAUGGUGGCCAUGCGUAGGGCGUCUUCGGAUGCGCCGGGUUGUCAGGUGACCGGUCUACCAACCUCCGUAUGGCCAUCACCCAU